CGCUCUAAUAGCGUCAACUGGCUUCCUCCUUUGCUCAGGUAAAAAUUACCAUACCCACUAGAGGGCUUUGUCACUUGAACAAAAACAUAUAUUGUUUUAGGGCACUUACUGAAACGACUAAUGCAGUCACUGUUCAGUACAUGUAUGAACAAAUAUUUAACACCGAAUCUUCAAAGGGAACUGACUAUACUGGAUCAGCAUUGUCAGUGACUGAAUCAGUAGCCUUUAGGAGUGGAGCUCCCCUCACUGGUGACUGAGAGCGCCGUCGUCAGCUCAGCUGUGAUACACAGUAUGUUACUUCCUCAUUAAAAGCUUCUAAAAAGAACGUUAAAGCCGCAGAAACAAUCGUAAUGCGAUGAGCUAUUACCCUUGUAAACAGUGCUUGCAUAGGCUGAGUUUUGUACUGAACUGAGCGUGCCAGCUGGGACUAGCAACAGACUGAAUGUCCUACUGAAGUGAAGACAAUCAGAAUCAGCACUGAACGUUGUGGCGAUGGCCUCACUGAUAAACACCCGCAGUAGGGUGUGUAUUCACGAAAGCCAAGCUGGCCCUGUCAGAUGGGGGUUGGAGCUGGCUUUGUCACUAAGAAACUAAAGGGCUCAGUAGAUUUAUUUCUGAUCAAUAAAACUGUUAUCUAACAUCAGUUUUAUUUUAUCUGAGCCAGAAGAGCCUGCAGCACACAGUAUGUUUAAAGAGAGAUGGGAUAGAUUUUGAACUACCUGAGCUAUAGCUGCUGCUUUGCUACAUGCCAGGCUGGACAGCCUUGGAAAUGCCUUUUAAAAAGUAGCUAAACAUGCUUACAAAAACAGGUUUGAGAUGACUUACACUUGAAUGUGGUAGGUGUAUGGUUACAUACAUACAAGAGAAUAAGUGUAGUCCAGUUGAAAGGUUUGGAGUUGAGUGUUUUGAUCAAGAGAUGUUUUCUAUGUUUUGUAUCCUUCUCAACAAUAUGU
Molecule: long non-coding RNA, 953 nt
Organism: Siniperca chuatsi (mandarin fish)
Lineage: Eukaryota; Metazoa; Chordata; Actinopteri; Centrarchiformes; Sinipercidae
Exons: 3
Source: RefSeq, a predicted model, not a curated record